UUUAUUUAUACAGAUCCCAUUUAUAACAUGUAACCUAUACAGCUCUGUAUUUAUCACACAAUUUUUGCUGAAAUUGCAAACACAUACUCAGAAAGGGGACAUGCAAUACAAAAAGGGGUUCAAACCCCCUCAUGCUACCUGUAUGUGUUCAUUGACAAGACAGUCUGAAUUGUCACAGUCCACCCAGCUGUAAAGAGGUUCCUGUUUUAGCUGGGGAAGUAACCUGCAUCACACAGCCAUUCUGUUCGGGGGAAUCACAGACGCCCUUCUGCUUCACACCACAGAAUCCAGAGAUAAGCACGGGUACAGAUGGACUUCAGGCACUAUAUAGGACUUAUUUCUUCUUCUUGUCCUGAAGGGGACAAAUGAAAGUCAGUCAGUCCAGUGGGCCAUCACCUCAUUUUCUGUGGUUCAUCUGAAAAGGGUGUGGAUUGUCCUCUCAGGGUCACGGGAGAAUUACUGCCACAAGUGGAAGAUUUCAAGUGUCUCGGGGUCUUGUGCGCAAGAGGUGUUAAGAUGGAGUGUCAGAUUGAUACACGGACUGGGGCUGUGUUGUAGGUCCUGCGGCCGCUGUACUGGAACAUCGUGUUGAAGAAAGACCUGAGACAGAAGGCUCUCUCAAUUUGCCAGUUGAUCUAUGCUGCUAUCAUUACCUAUGGUCAUGAACUGUUAAUGACUGAAAGAAUAAAGUCACGGACACAAACGGCAGAAAUGAGGUUCCUCUGUUGGGUAACACUCCAUAACACUCAGGGACAGAGAGUAGAGCUGCUGCUUCUUUGCAUUGAAAGGAGCCAGAUGAAGUGGAGCUCCAUUAAGGACAGUCAUAUUCUUGGUUUACAGGGUGAGCCCAGUCCAAAACCUAGAAAAAUACACCUAGCCGGCCAUAUUUCUUUAGACAGUGAUGCUCCAUUAACAUGCCUAUGAUGAUUGACAUCAUUAUUUUACUGAUAUUUUGCAGAAAAUGUGAUUUUUUUUUUUUUUUUUUUGUAACUCCUGGGACUGCUCAUUCACUCUCACUUCUUAAAUUAAUUAUUCAGAAAAUGAUGUCUCACAAGCAGAACAAUCAUCCAAGGUGAAUACAGCACUCAUUGACUUAACUGUUUACAGAGUGUCUUAAUGUAACUACAGUUGGAAAAAAAUAAAAAUUAUCCUUUAAUGACGUCUGGAGGAACAACACAGUUGACUGUAGUAGAGUUUAAACUGUGGACAUUACAGAGAAGUCCAGUGAUGGCAGUUACUCAAGGAACAAUCCUGGGUUCAGUUUAACUAUGAGUUUAACACAUUUUUUUUAAUAUUAUUUGUUAGAGUGGCCGUAGAAGAAUAAAAAUGUGGUAAAUAAUGAUGUUCAUUAUGAAUGACAGCAAUCUUUAUUCUGUACAGCCAUUUUGAAAAAUGUAUUUAUUCAUAACAAAUUAGAGGUAGACUUAAUAUGUCACUGCACAGUGAGUUUUAGGGUAUUCAUUAAUCAAGCAUAAAUUAGUUUAUGACUUUCAAAGAACACAGUAUUAAAGAAUUUGAUUAUUAUUAUUGAUGAUGGUGAUGAUGAUGAUGAUGAUGAUGAUGAUAAUAAUGAUAAUAAUAACAACAAUAAUAAUAAUGGAGGUGUUCAUAUGAACAAAUAAGAAAUUCAUUCUAAUGGAAGUUACUGCAUAAAAGUACCUGAUAAAACAAACAGAAGCUUCAACAGACUCAACCUUUAUCACUUCAAUUUAAAAACAAAACAAAUAAAUACUUGAGCAGUCAAGAAAUUCAUGAAUGCUGACUUCUAAGAAUGCUCAGGCUGAAAAUCUUUUUCAUAGUGUUUCUGACAAUCACACAGUAUAUACACGAAAAUGUUUAAUGUGCAUAAGAUGCAUGUCGAGAAACUGCAGCCUUACUCUGUUACAUGAUAAAGUAAACACUAACCAACAUCACCUACUCCAGGUAGACGAUGCCAUUCCGGCUCCAGAUUUUUGUCAAUCAACGAGUAAAAGUGCUCCCUGUCACCAAUUAAAUAUGUGCAUUGAAGUCUUUGGUUCAAGUAUUGGAAAAUCACAGUUGCUAUCAGAGUUGUUACAUAAUUCUUAAUUGUUAAUAAUUAUGUUGUAAAUAAACAACCAAAUUCUAUUAAUCCCAUGCUGAUUCAAAUGAUUGAUUUCACAGAUUUAUUCUUCUCACUUUAGUUUUAAAAAGUAUAGAAAUGGGCAACAGAAAUCAUGACAGAAUUGGCCCCAUAGACACAUUUUUCUUUAUCAAUGAUAAUAAUGCACCAAACACGAAUGGAGAAGUUUCUGAAUUAUACUAUAAAAUCAUCAUGGCUCCAAUCAGCUUCAACUAGUUCAUUUUCAAUACACAGAGCAUGUUGGCAGAACUCAAAAAAUUUGAUGUAACUAAUAAGCUUAAUUUUCUUAAUGUUUAGGCACUCAAAAAUAAAUUAUUUGAACUUAAAAAAUUGAAUACCUUUUGUUUGUACUCAUAUUGUUUGUUGUUUCAUUUGGGGUAAUAUAACUUAACAAAUUUAAGUCCAAAAAUUACAACAUUUUAAUAACAUUCAAGGCAGAAUUGCACAGUCAACAUUGUGUACACUUCCUUAAAGGUGGCAUUUAGUGACUUUUUUUUAAGGGUGUAUUGAUAAGCUGCACACAGGGAUUAAUUUAACAACUUUCCAGUUCUCAAACAACAUGGUUUACCAUCUACAACAUUUUCCCAAAGUGGUGUACUUAUUUCUUCAUAAAUGCAUAUAACUCACACUAUUGUUGUUUGAUUCCAAAAUAUACACUGUGUCUAAUUCAGCAAACCAUCAAAGAAUGAUAUUUUGGCCUUAAGAGAAAUUGAUACAUUUGAAUUAUAUGUUAGCAUAUAUUCAUGCACUGCAAACCCGAACAAGUUAGCAGAACUCAGAAAUAGUGAGGCAAUCACUUGCCACAAAAUUUUUGAGUCCAUAAAUAUAAAAAUCAAUUGUUACCAGAACUUAAACGUUCCAAUUAAAUGCUACUUGUACUUCAUAAUUACAAUUAAAUUAAAGUGUCACUAAGUCUUUUUGGCUACUUCAUUGUUUUUCCACUAUCGCCAGCAGAUGUGAGGUGGAUCUGUUAUGUUGAACUGGCACAGGUUUUACACCAGAUAGCCUUCCUGAUGCAACUCCACAUUAUAUGGACAAAUGUGGCAGGGGUGGGGUUUGAACCUACUGCACUGAAACCAAGCGCACUAACCACUUGGCCACCACCCCUGCUAAAGGGUUCAUUAAGUCACCUCAGAUACUUUCAUAUAUAAUUACAUAAUUCUUGAAGUUGUGUUUAAGUUAUGCUUUGAAGUUUUGCUUACUUAAUAUGCAAUUAGUUCAAGUC
Long non-coding RNA from Thalassophryne amazonica, 3326 nucleotides. RefSeq lists it as uncharacterized. The transcript has 2 exons. The record is from RefSeq and is a predicted model, not a curated record. Lineage: Eukaryota; Metazoa; Chordata; Actinopteri; Batrachoidiformes; Batrachoididae.